Molecule: ribosomal RNA, 253 nt
Filed under: uncultured bacterium
Lineage: Bacteria
Description: partial 16S ribosomal RNA
Rfam family: Bacterial small subunit ribosomal RNA
Source: RNAcentral
GCCGGAGGGAGCAAGCGUUGUUCGGAAUCACUGGGCGUAAAGCGCGUGUAGGCGGUUUGAUAAGUCGGAUGUGAAAGCCCGAGGCUCAACCUCGGAAGUGCAUUCGAAACUGUCAGGCUUGAGGACGGGAGAGGGAAGUGGAAUUCCUGGUGUAGAGGUGAAAUUCGUAGAUAUCAGGAGGAACACCGGUGGCGAAGGCGGCUUCCUGGACCGAUACUGACGCUGAGACGCGAAAGCGUGGGGAGAAAACAGG